GGGCCCGUAGUUCAGCUGGUUAGAAUGCCUGCUUUGCAAGCAGGAGGUCACCGGUUCGAAUCCGGUCGGGUCCACCA
Molecule: transfer RNA, 77 nt
Filed under: Patescibacteria group bacterium
Lineage: Bacteria
Also listed under: 1 other name
Description: tRNA-Ala
Rfam family: tRNA
About the family: Transfer RNA (tRNA) molecules are approximately 80 nucleotides in length. Their secondary structure includes four short double-helical elements and three loops (D, anti-codon, and T loops). Further hydrogen bonds mediate the characteristic L-shaped molecular structure. tRNAs have two regions of fundamental functional importance: the anti-codon, which is responsible for specific mRNA codon recognition, and the 3' end, to which the tRNAs corresponding amino acid is attached (by aminoacyl-tRNA synthetases). tRNAs cope with the degeneracy of the genetic code in two manners: having more than one tRNA (with a specific anti-codon) for a particular amino acid; and 'wobble' base-pairing, i.e. permitting non-standard base-pairing at the 3rd anti-codon position.
Source: RNAcentral